This 465-nucleotide ribosomal RNA is filed under the name uncultured bacterium. RNAcentral describes it as "partial 16S ribosomal RNA". It matches the Rfam family "Bacterial small subunit ribosomal RNA", at positions 28 to 507 of the family's 1533-position model. The record is from RNAcentral.
GACGAACGCUGGCGGCGUGCUUAACACAUGCAAGUCGUACGGUAAGGCCCUUUCGGGGGUACACGAGUGGCGAACGGGUGAGUAACACGUGAGUAACCUGCCCACAACUUUGGGAUAACGCUAGGAAACUGGUGCUAAUACUGGAUAUGUGCUCCUGCUGCAUGGUGGGGGUUGGAAAGCUCCGGCGGUUGUGGAUGGACUCGCGGCCUAUCAGCUUGUUGGUGGGGUAGUGGCCUACCAAGGCGGCGACGGGUAGCCGGCCUGAGAGGGUGACCGGCCACAUUGGGAAUGAGAUACGGCCCAGACUCCUACGGGAGGAAGCAGUGGGGAAUAUUGCAAAAUGGGCGCAAGCCUGAUGCAGCAACGCCGCGGGCGGGAUGACGGCCUUCGGGUUGUAAACCGCGUUCAGCAGGGACGAAGCUUUUUGUGACGGUACCUGCAGAAGAAGCACCGGCUAACUACGUG